Molecule: ribosomal RNA, 400 nt
Filed under: uncultured bacterium
Lineage: Bacteria
Description: bacterial SSU rRNA
Rfam family: Bacterial small subunit ribosomal RNA
Source: RNAcentral
UGGGGAAUCUUCCGCAAUGGACGAAAGUCUGACGGAGCAACGCCGCGUGAGUGAAGAAGGCCUUCGGGUUGUAAAGCUCUGUUAUUGGGGACGAACGUGCGGUUUGUAAAUAAUGAAUCGUAAUGACGGUACCUGAGGAGGAAGCCACGGCUAACUACGUGCCAGCAGCCGCGGUAAUACGUAGGUGGCAAGCGUUGUCCGGAAUUAUUGGGCGUAAAGAGCGUGUAGGCGGGAAGUUAAGUCUAUCUUAAAAGUGCGGGGCUCAACCCCGUGAGGGGAUAGAAACUGACUUUCUUGAGUGUCGGAGAGGAAAGUGGAAUUCCCAGUGUAGCGGUGAAAUGCGUAGAUAUUGGGAGGAACACCAGUGGCGAAGGCGACUUUCUGGACGAUAACUGACGCU